This 439-nucleotide ribosomal RNA is filed under the name uncultured bacterium. Its description in RNAcentral is "partial 16S ribosomal RNA". It matches the Rfam family "Bacterial small subunit ribosomal RNA", at positions 339 to 795 of the family's 1533-position model. The record is from RNAcentral.
CUACGGGAUGCUGCAGUGAGGAAUAUUGCACAAUGGGGGGAACCCUGAUGCAGCAACGCCGCGUGGAGGAUGACGCAUUUCGGUGUGUAAACUCCUUUUAUAUGUCAAGAAAAUGACGGUAGCAUAUGAAUAAGCACCGGCUAACUCCGUGCCAGCAGCCGCGGUAAUACGGAGGGUGCAAGCGUUACUCGGAAUCACUGGGCGUAAAGGACGCGUAGGCGGGUUGGAAAGUCAGGUGUGAAAUCCUACAGCUUAACUGUAGAACUGCACUUGAAACUUCUAAUCUAGAGUAUGGGAGGGGGAGAUGGAAUUUGUGGUGUAGGGGUAAAAUCCGUAGAUAUCACUAGGAAUACCUAAAGCGAAGGCGAUCUCCUGGAACAUUACUGACGCUAAGGCGUGAAAGCGUGGGGAGCAAACAGGAUUAGAUACACCGGUAGUC